RNAcentral lists this ribosomal RNA (476 nucleotides) under uncultured bacterium. Its description in RNAcentral is "bacterial SSU rRNA". It matches the Rfam family "Bacterial small subunit ribosomal RNA", at positions 335 to 800 of the family's 1533-position model. The record is from RNAcentral.
ACUCCUACGGGAGGCAGCAGUGGGGAAUAUUGCACAAUGGGCGCAAGCCUGAUGCAGCCAUGCCGCCGUGUGUGAGAAGGCAGCUUCGGGUUGUAAAGCACUUUCAGUCGUGAGGAAGGUAGUGUAGUUAAUAGCUGCAUUAUUUGACGUUAGCGACAGAAGAAGCACCGGCUAACUCCGUGCCAGCAGCCGCGGUAAUACGGAGGGUGCGAGCGUUAAUCGGAAUUACUGGGCGUAAAGCGCAUGCAGGUGGUUUGUUAAGUCAGAUGUGAAAGCCCGGGGCUCAACCUCGGAAUUGCAUUUGAAACUGGCAGACUAGAGUACUGUAGAGGGGGGUAGAAUUUCAGGUGUAGCGGUGAAAUGCGUAGAGAUCUGAAGGAAUACCGGUGGCGAAGGCGGCCCCCUGGACAGAUACUGACACUCAGAUGCGAAAGCGUGGGGAGCAAACAGGAUUAGAUACCCUGGUAGCUCGAUGU